Molecule: small nucleolar RNA, 151 nt
Organism: Ceratitis capitata (Mediterranean fruit fly)
Lineage: Eukaryota; Metazoa; Arthropoda; Insecta; Diptera; Tephritidae
Product: small nucleolar RNA psi28S-1192
Exons: 1
Source: RefSeq, a predicted model, not a curated record
AACCAGUCCUCUCUAAUGCAAAUCAAUGAAAUUAGCCAAAUUGCUUUGUCUCGCUUGAGGACGAAAUUAAUAUUAUUGGUUUUAUUAUCCUAGCGCUCUAAAGUAGUCAAUUAGAGAUUUUAUUGCGCUCGAGAAACGUAGAACUACAUAA